CACUGCCCAUCGCUACUACCGACUGAAUAAAUUAGUGAGGUCGUUGGAUUGGUGUCGUUGUAGUGGCUUCGCCACUCGACUGAUGCUGAGAUGACUUAAUUUGACUAUUUAGGGGAAGUAAAAGUUGUAACAAGGUUUCCGGAGGUGAACCUGCGGAUG
RNAcentral lists this non-coding RNA (159 nucleotides) under Schistosoma margrebowiei. Its description in RNAcentral is "Eukaryotic small subunit ribosomal RNA". It matches the Rfam family "Eukaryotic small subunit ribosomal RNA", at positions 1667 to 1823 of the family's 1831-position model. Lineage: Eukaryota; Metazoa; Platyhelminthes; Trematoda; Strigeidida; Schistosomatidae. The record is from Rfam by way of RNAcentral.